Molecule: ribosomal RNA, 225 nt
Filed under: uncultured Actinomycetales bacterium
Lineage: Bacteria; Bacillati; Actinomycetota; Actinomycetes; Actinomycetales
Description: partial 16S ribosomal RNA
Rfam family: Bacterial small subunit ribosomal RNA
Source: RNAcentral
GGGUAACACGUGAGUAACCUGCCCUUGACUUUGGGAUAACUUCAGGAAACUGGGGCUAAUACCGGAUAGGAGCUCCUGCUGCAUGGUGGGGGUUGGAAAGUUUCGGCGGUUGGGGAUGGACUCGCGGCUUAUCAGCUUGUUGGUGGGGUAGUGGCUUACCAAGGCUUUGACGGGUAGCCGGCCUGAGAGGGUGACCGGCCACAUUGGGACUGAGAUACGGCCCAG